Long non-coding RNA from Helianthus annuus (common sunflower), 790 nucleotides. RefSeq lists it as uncharacterized. Lineage: Eukaryota; Viridiplantae; Streptophyta; Magnoliopsida; Asterales; Asteraceae. The record is from RefSeq and is a predicted model, not a curated record. The transcript has 2 exons.
AACUAGUUAUGUUAGUAUCAACUCUCAUGCUCUCCCACUGAGAUACUUGGUUGUUUACCUAACUUCCCACUUUCUCUACCUGUCUGUGUGUCUAGCUCUAGCUGGUCAAAAAUCAACUGAAUGCAAAAAAAUGGUUAGUGAAAAGGUGAUUUGUUCCUCCAUUGCCAUGUUGCAAGAGAGGUUUAGACAAUUGGAGAAGGUGAAAGAGAUGAGAGAAGAAAGAGAGCUUCUGAAGUUACCAUACAAAUAUAAUUACAAUCAUCCUCCUCAUAAUAAUUCCCAUAAUUUGUUGUUUCACUCCAAAGAAAGAGAGCUUCUGAAGUUACCUACUCCAAAACAAUCUCAUCAACUACUUUCCCUCUCCCUGUGUCAAAAUUCACACAUGAAGAUGAAGAAGAAGAAGAAGAAGCUACCAUCUUGGCUCAUCCAUGUUCCCCCAUCCUUGAUCAACAAUAUCAAUGAAACUGAUGUUGAUACCACUCUGCAUCUCUAGCUACCACAUAAAUAAAUUUACUACUGGAGUAUCCUCGUGCCACCAGUGGAACCACCCGAUCAUAUCCAUAGUAACUCUGAUAAAUGGUUGGCAUCAUCACAUUAGGUUUUGCAUGAACCCAUGCACCUUACUUAGGGUUUACUGUCAAGUGUAUUUAGUUACAAAGGUGCGCAUCAAUCAAAGUAUGCAGCCUGGGUUCGUAUUCGGAUGUCAGUGUUGGUUUUAGACGUUUAGUGUAUGCUCCAUUACCUGUUAUCUUGUUCUACUUGUUAUUCAUCUCUUGAUCUUUAUUCUUUA